AUUGAACGCUGGCGGCAUGCUUUACACAUGCAAGUCGAACGGUAACAGGUUAAGCUGACGAGUGGCGAACGGGUGAGUAAUGCAUCGGAACGUGCCCGGUCGUGGGGGAUAACGCAGCGAAAGCUGCGCUAAUACCGCAUACGAUCUGAGGAUGAAAGCGGGGGACCGUAAGGCCUCGCGCGAUCGGAGCGGCCGAUGUCAGAUUAGGUAGUUGGUGGGGUAAAGGCUCACCAAGCCGACGAUCUGUAGCUGGUCUGAGAGGCCGACCAGCCACACUGGGACUGAGACACGGGCCAGACUCCUACGGGAGGCAGCAGUGGGGAAUUUUGGACAAUGGGCGCAAGCCUGAUCCAGCAAUGCCGCGUGCAGGAAGAAGGCCUUCGGGUUGUAAACUGCUUUUGUACGGAGCGAAAAGGCUCUCUCUAAUACAGGGGGCUCAUGACGGUACCGUAAGAAUAAGCACCGGCUAACUACGUGCCAGCCGCCGCAGUAA
This 493-nucleotide ribosomal RNA is filed under the name uncultured bacterium. RNAcentral's name for it is "partial 16S ribosomal RNA". It matches the Rfam family "Bacterial small subunit ribosomal RNA", at positions 29 to 523 of the family's 1533-position model. The record is from RNAcentral.